GAUGAAGAACGUAGCGAAAUGCGAUAAGUAAUGUGAAUUGCAGAAUUCAGUGAAUCAUCGAAUCUUUGAACGCACCUUGCGCUCCUUGGUAUUCCGAGGAGCAUGCCUGUUUGAGUGUCAUUAAUAUAUCAACCUUCUCUUUUUUGAGUUGUUUGGAUGUGGGGGUUUGCUGGCCUCUUAAAUGAUUCAGCUCCCCUGAAAUGCAUUAGCAGAACAACCUGUUCAUUAGCGUGAUAAUUAUCUAUGCUAUUGAAUGUGAGGGCAGUUCAGCUUUCUAACCGUCCUUGGACAAUUCAUCAUUAAUGUGACCUCAAAUCAGGUAGGACUACCCGCUGAACUUAAGCAUAUCAAAAGCGGAGGA
RNAcentral lists this unclassified non-coding RNA (361 nucleotides) under soil metagenome. RNAcentral describes it as "partial contains 5.8S ribosomal RNA, internal transcribed spacer 2, and large subunit ribosomal RNA". The stretch from base 1 to 120 matches the Rfam family "5.8S ribosomal RNA", at positions 35 to 154 of the family's 154-position model. The record is from RNAcentral.